UAAACGAUGUCGACCAGCCGUUGGGUGCCUAGCGCACUUUGUGGCGAAGUUAACGCGAUAAGUCGACCGCCUGGGGAGUACGGCCGCAAGGUUAAAACUCAAAUGAAUUGACGGGGGCCCGCACAAGCGGUGGAGCAUGUGGUUUAAUUCGAUGCAACGCGAAGAACCUUACCUACUCUUGACAUCCUGCGAACUUGUGAGAGAUCACUUGGUGCCUUCGGGAGCGCAGAGACAGGUGCUGCAUGGCUGUCGUCAGCUCGUGUUGUGAAAUGUUGGGUUAAGUCCCGUAACGAGCGCAACCCUUGUCCUUAUUUGCCAGCGGGUAAUGCCGGGAACUCUAAGGAGACUGCCGGUGACAAACCGGAGGAAGGUGGGGACGACGUCAAGUCAUCAUGGCCCUUACGAGUAGGGCUACACACGUGCUACAAUGGCCGGUACAAAGGGUUGCGAGCUCGCGAGAGUCAGCUAAUCCCGAAAAGCCGGUCUCAGUCCGGAUCGGAGUCUGCAACUCGACUCCGUGAAGUCGGAAUCGCUAGUAAUCGUGAAUCAGAAUGUCACGGUGAAUACGUUCCCGGGCCUUGUACACACCGCCCGU
This 595-nucleotide ribosomal RNA is filed under the name uncultured bacterium. RNAcentral's name for it is "bacterial SSU rRNA". It matches the Rfam family "Bacterial small subunit ribosomal RNA", at positions 803 to 1397 of the family's 1533-position model. The record is from RNAcentral.